RNAcentral lists this long non-coding RNA (1137 nucleotides) under Phascolarctos cinereus (koala). Its description in RNAcentral is "lncRNA (ENSPCIG00000031035.1)". The record is from RNAcentral. Lineage: Eukaryota; Metazoa; Chordata; Mammalia; Diprotodontia; Phascolarctidae.
AUGGGGCAUAGGAUAAACCGGUUAGUGGGAGCCGGCCCCAGGACUCUGGUCUGGGAUCUGAGGCCUACCCCAGCCGGCCCACCUCCUGCUGUUCCCCUCCCUCCAUCUGUGCAGCCCGUCCAAAGAGACUCAAUGCUGCCGAAAGUGCCGAUCCCCCAGGACACACGAUUCAUCUCUUACUCCUGCUCCCUCUGUUUCUGCAGCUUUCCCUCCGACCCUGUCUCUUUGUGUGUGUCUCUCUUUUGUCUCUCCUUGUUUCUGUCUGAGACCAGAGGAUUUGGGGACGGAAGGGUCCUGGGUCGCUCUCUCAGUCCUGCUCCCUCAGUCCUUUGGCGAGGAAGAAGGGGAGGCCAGAGAAGGGAAGGGACUCGUUCAAGGUCGCACAGCUCCUACUCGUCUCUUUGUGUUUCUCUGUAUGUAUGUGUGUGUCUCUCUGACUUCCCUUGUGUUUGUGUGGUGGUGGUGGUGGUGGUGUGGUGGUGGUGGUGUGGUGUGUGUGUGUGUGUGUGUGUGUGUGUGUGUGUGUGUGUGUGUGUGUGUGUGUGUGUUGUGGGGGUGGCUCUUUCUGCCUCCCUCUGCUCUUUCUUUCUCUGUCUCCUGGGGUCUCCGGUCUCCCUCCCUCCCUCUGUAUCUCUGUCCUCCCGGCUCCUUCUUCGAUCUGUAGAGCGGCUGCCUCCUUGCUCCGCUGUGCUCUCGACUCACAGAGUGCUGGGGCCUGCGAGCCCCGACACAUCCUCCCUCCGUCCGGCCUGUGGGCGCCCAGAAAGGCCCCCGCCCUCCCAGGCCGGCCUGGGCCGAGCUGAAUUGGGCUGGGCCCCUCCAGCCUCCAGCCCCCCCCUUCCUCUUCCUUCUCCACCUCCUCCUUCUCAUUUUCUUCCUCCUCCUCCUCCUCUUCUUUCUCCUCUCCUCCCGUCCCGCGUGGGGGAGCCUGCGCCUUUAAGGGCGGGCGAGGGGCGGGGGCUCGGGCUCCCCUCCCCUCCCCGCCCCCUCCCCCUUCCCCUCCCUGACGUCUCUUCCUCCCGGGCCCCUCCGCCGCCGCCGCCGCCGCCCGGGCCGGCUCCGCGCCCCCCGGCCCCCCCAAGCCCCAGCCCCCUUCCCACCAUGGAGCCCGGGCUCCCUUGGAGCCGGGGCCACUAG